GACGAACGCUGGCGGCGUGCCUAAUACAUGCAAGUUGAGCGAUGAAGAUUGGUGCUUGCACCAAUUUGAAGAGCAGCGAACGGGUGAGUAACGCGUGGGGAAUCUGCCUUUGAGCGGGGAACAACAUUUGGAAAGGAAUGCUAAUACCGCAUACCAACUUUAAACAUAAGUUUAAAUUUUAAAAAAUGCAAUUGCAUCACUCAAAAAUAAUCCCGCGUUGUAUUAGCUAGUUGGUGAGGUAAAGGCUCACCAAGGCGAUGAUACAUAGCCGACCUGAGAGGGUGAUCGGCCACAUUGGGACUGAGACACGGCCCAAACUCCUACGGGAGGCAGCAGUAGGGAAUCUUCGGCAAUGGACGAAAGUCUGACCGAGCAACGCCGCGUGAGUGAAGAAGGUUUUCGGAUCGUAAAACUCUGUUGGUAGAGAAGAACGUUGGUGAGAGUGGAAAGCUCAUCAAGUGACGGUAACUACCCAGAAAGGGACGGCUAACUACGUG
This 497-nucleotide ribosomal RNA is filed under the name uncultured bacterium. Its description in RNAcentral is "partial 16S ribosomal RNA". It matches the Rfam family "Bacterial small subunit ribosomal RNA", at positions 28 to 507 of the family's 1533-position model. The record is from RNAcentral.